UCCCGGUUAGCUUAGUUGGUGAAGAAUCUGCCUGCAAUGCAGGAGACCCCAGUUCAAUUCCUGGGCCAGGAA
Molecule: transfer RNA, 72 nt
Filed under: Bos taurus (domestic cattle)
Lineage: Eukaryota; Metazoa; Chordata; Mammalia; Artiodactyla; Bovidae
Also listed under: 4 other names
Rfam family: tRNA
About the family: Transfer RNA (tRNA) molecules are approximately 80 nucleotides in length. Their secondary structure includes four short double-helical elements and three loops (D, anti-codon, and T loops). Further hydrogen bonds mediate the characteristic L-shaped molecular structure. tRNAs have two regions of fundamental functional importance: the anti-codon, which is responsible for specific mRNA codon recognition, and the 3' end, to which the tRNAs corresponding amino acid is attached (by aminoacyl-tRNA synthetases). tRNAs cope with the degeneracy of the genetic code in two manners: having more than one tRNA (with a specific anti-codon) for a particular amino acid; and 'wobble' base-pairing, i.e. permitting non-standard base-pairing at the 3rd anti-codon position.
Source: Rfam by way of RNAcentral